UACGAAGGGGGCUAGCGUUGUUCGAAUUUACUGGACGUAAAGCGCACGUAGGCGGACUUUUAAGUCAGGGGUGAAAUCCCGGGGCUCAACCCCGGAACUGCCUUUGAUACUGGAAGUCUUGAGUAUGGUAGAGGUGAGUGGAAUUCCGAGUGUAGAGGUGAAAUUCGUAGAUAUUCGGAGGAACACCAGUGGCGAAGGCGGCUCACUGGACCAUUACUGACGCUGAGGUGCGAAAGCGUGGGGAGCAAACAGG
This 253-nucleotide ribosomal RNA is filed under the name uncultured bacterium. RNAcentral's name for it is "partial 16S ribosomal RNA". It matches the Rfam family "Bacterial small subunit ribosomal RNA", at positions 524 to 776 of the family's 1533-position model. The record is from RNAcentral.